Molecule: ribosomal RNA, 174 nt
Filed under: Staphylococcus aureus
Lineage: Bacteria; Bacillati; Bacillota; Bacilli; Caryophanales; Staphylococcaceae
Description: partial 23S ribosomal RNA
Rfam family: Bacterial large subunit ribosomal RNA
Source: RNAcentral
CUAUGUGUGGACGGGAUAAGUGCUGAAAGCAUCUAAGCAUGAAGCCCCCCUCAAGAUGAGAUUUCCCAACUUCGGUUAUAAGAUCCCUCAAAGAUGAUGAGGUUAAUAGGUUCGAGGUGGAAGCAUGGUGACAUGUGGAGCUGACGAAUACUAAUCGAUCGAAGACUUAAUCAA